CGUCGUCGUCAUCAUCAUCAUCAUGUUUCCUUUCUUCGUUUUCUUUUCAAUUGUCGUAUUCUUCUUUUUUUUCUUUUUGUUUCUAUAUGAGCAUUAUCAUCUCUUGAUUGUUUAGGAGUGCAUCUCUACCACUUGUUUUUAGUGCUAGGAGUGUUGUUUUAAUAAUUGCGAUAAAUAACUAGUUAUAGGCUUGCUGUUGCUGACAUAAGGUAUUGUUUGAUGCAGAAUGCAAUUAACUAGUACGGUGUGGAAAUGCUUG
This 259-nucleotide unclassified non-coding RNA is filed under the name Hevea brasiliensis (rubber tree). The record is from RNAcentral. Lineage: Eukaryota; Viridiplantae; Streptophyta; Magnoliopsida; Malpighiales; Euphorbiaceae.